UUUCAGUCCAUUUAACUCUUUCAUACAUGAAUUAUCAGGAACAUUGGUCCAGAUCUUUUUCCUUAUUUGUCUUUGGAAAAAACCCAAUGCAGAUGAAUUGUUUCUGAACCUGUUUUUUCUUGUAGUUCCAUAAACGUCCACCAGUCUGAACACAUCAGUUUAAAUAUGGAUUCAACAAACCAACGUCAGAACAUGAAGAAAACUAUGAAAUAAGAGUCAGGGAGGUGUUUCUUGAUGUAGAAGGAGUUCCCUGAUAUUCAUGGGAGGGUCAGUGUUUAGGACUUCCUGUCGGCCAUCUUGGUUAGGAGUAAAAAAAUAAAUCUGCACUUCCCCACCUGUCCACCAGGUGUCAGUGUCUGUGCUGAUGUGUCCACUGUGUCAGCUGAUAUGAAAUAAACCCAUGAAUAAACAGGAGAAGAUCUGGAGAACAUCUGGAGAACAGAGGAACCCUGGACAUUAAAGGGUUCCCCAGACCUUCUCAGUUCCUUCUUGUUUUGCUGUUUGUGACUUUGGUUUCCUGUCGACUCAUGUGACUCUGGUUCUGGUUCUGGUGUGGGUCUGGACGUCCUCAGUCGGUCUUUGUGUCUGAUAGGUGUGUCCCCGAGCCGGUCCCGGUCCGGGUGUCCCUUUGAGGACAUCUGGGUCCUCAGGGACUCGUGUCAUGCAGGAGAUCGGAACAGCGUGGGCAGCACCGGCAGCGUGGGGAGCACCCGGAGCGCCGGCAGCGGCCAGAGCACGGAGAGCAACAGCGCCCCCAACGGACUGCAGCACAGCGCCGGUCACCAUGACAACGGCAGCAAGACGACGCCCUCUGCUGGAGACUCUGGACACAACGACCUCAGCUCACAGCCUGAUCAUCCACCAGGUCACUUCCCGUUUACUGUUUACUGAACACACGUUAACGCCACAUUUAGCUCAAUAUUCGUCUGUUUAACCUUUAACGCUUUUA
Molecule: long non-coding RNA, 949 nt
Filed under: Sphaeramia orbicularis (orbiculate cardinalfish)
Lineage: Eukaryota; Metazoa; Chordata; Actinopteri; Kurtiformes; Apogonidae
Description: lncRNA (ENSSORG00005019156.1)
Source: RNAcentral